This 24-nucleotide non-coding RNA is filed under the name Rattus norvegicus (Norway rat). The record is from RNAcentral. Lineage: Eukaryota; Metazoa; Chordata; Mammalia; Rodentia; Muridae.
UGAUAUGUUAAUGGAUGACUCAGC